RNAcentral lists this ribosomal RNA (255 nucleotides) under uncultured bacterium. RNAcentral describes it as "partial 16S ribosomal RNA". It matches the Rfam family "Bacterial small subunit ribosomal RNA", at positions 524 to 777 of the family's 1533-position model. The record is from RNAcentral.
UACAGAGGGGGCAAGCGUUGUUCGGAAUUACUGGGCGUAAAGGGCGCGUAGGCGGCCUGUUAAGUCGAACGUGAAAUCCCCGGGCUCAACCCGGGAACUGCGUCCGAUACUGGCAGGCUUGAAUCCGGGAGAGGGAUGCGGAAUUCCAGGUGUAGCGGUGAAAUGCGUAGAUAUCUGGAGGAACACCGGUGGCGAAGGCGCUUUCUGGUCCGUUAACUGACGCUGAGGCGCGAAAGCAUGGGGGAGCGAACGGGG